RNAcentral lists this ribosomal RNA (654 nucleotides) under Bifidobacterium pseudolongum. RNAcentral's name for it is "bacterial SSU rRNA". It matches the Rfam family "Bacterial small subunit ribosomal RNA", at positions 75 to 728 of the family's 1533-position model. The record is from RNAcentral. Lineage: Bacteria; Bacillati; Actinomycetota; Actinomycetes; Bifidobacteriales; Bifidobacteriaceae.
GCAGCUUGCUGCCGGGGUGAGAGUGGCGAACGGGUGAGUAAUGCGUGACCGACCUGCCCCAUGCACCGGAAUAGCUCCUGGAAACGGGUGGUAAUGCCGGAUGUUCCACAUGAGCGCAUGCGAGUGUGGGAAAGGCUUUUUGCGGCAUGGGAUGGGGUCGCGUCCUAUCAGCUUGUUGGUGGGGUAACGGCCUACCAAGGCGUUGACGGGUAGCCGGCCUGAGAGGGCGACCGGCCACAUUGGGACUGAGAUACGGCCCAGACUCCUACGGGAGGCAGCAGUGGGGAAUAUUGCACAAUGGGCGCAAGCCUGAUGCAGCGACGCCGCGUGCGGGAUGGAGGCCUUCGGGUUGUAAACCGCUUUUGUUCAAGGGCAAGGCACGGUUUCGGCCGUGUUGAGUGGAUUGUUCGAAUAAGCACCGGCUAACUACGUGCCAGCAGCCGCGGUAAUACGUAGGGUGCAAGCGUUAUCCGGAUUUAUUGGGCGUAAAGGGCUCGUAGGCGGUUCGUCGCGUCCGGUGUGAAAGUCCAUCGCUUAACGGUGGAUCCGCGCCGGGUACGGGCGGGCUUGAGUGCGGUAGGGGAGACUGGAAUUCCCGGUGUAACGGUGGAAUGUGUAGAUAUCGGGAAGAACACCAAUGGCGAAGGCAGGUCU